This 484-nucleotide ribosomal RNA is filed under the name uncultured bacterium. Its description in RNAcentral is "partial 16S ribosomal RNA". It matches the Rfam family "Bacterial small subunit ribosomal RNA", at positions 30 to 507 of the family's 1533-position model. The record is from RNAcentral.
AUUGAACGCUGGCGGCAGGCCUAACACAUGCAAGUCGAGCGGAUGAAGGGAGCUUGCUCCUGGAUUCAGCGGCGGACGGGUGAGUAAUGCCUAGGAAUCUGCCUGGUAGUGGGGGAUAACGUCCGGAAACGGGCGCUAAUACCGCAUACGUCCUGAGGGAGAAAGUGGGGGAUCUUCGGACCUCACGCUAUCAGAUGAGCCUAGGUCGGAUUAGCUAGUUGGUGGGGUAAAGGCCUACCAAGGCGACGAUCCGUAACUGGUCUGAGAGGAGGAUCAGUCACACUGGAACUGAGACACGGUCCAGACUCCUACGGGAGGCAGCAGUGGGGAAUAUUGGACAAUGGGCGAAAGCCUGAUCCAGCCAUGCCGCGUGUGUGAAGAAGGUCUUCGGAUUGUAAAGCACUUUUAGGUGGGAGGAAGGGCAGUAAGUUAAUACCUUGCUGUUUUGACGUUACCAACAGAAUAAGCACCGGCUAACUUCGUG